GACGAACGCUGGCGGCGUGCCUAAUACAUGCAAGUAGAACGCUGAGGAGAGGAGCUUGCUCUUCUUGGAUGAGUUGCGAACGGGUGAGUAACGCGUAGGUAACCUGCCUUGUAGCGGGGGAUAACUAUUGGAAACGAUAGCUAAUACCGCAUAACAAUGGAUGACACAUGUCAUUUAUUUGAAAGGGGCAAUUGCUCCACUACAAGAUGGACCUGCGUUGUAUUAGCUAGUAGGUGAGGUAAUGGCUCACCUAGGCGACGAUACAUAGCCGACCUGAGAGGGUGAUCGGCCACACUGGGACUGAGACACGGCCCAGACUCCUACGGGAGGCAGCAGUAGGGAAUCUUCGGCAAUGGGGGCAACCCUGACCGAGCAACGCCGCGUGAGUGAAGAAGGUUUUCGGAUCGUAAAGCUCUGUUGUAAGUCAAGAACGGGUGUGAGAGUGGAAAGUUCACACCGUGACGGUAGCUUACCAGAAAGGGACGGCUAACUACGUG
This 497-nucleotide ribosomal RNA is filed under the name uncultured bacterium. RNAcentral's name for it is "partial 16S ribosomal RNA". It matches the Rfam family "Bacterial small subunit ribosomal RNA", at positions 28 to 507 of the family's 1533-position model. The record is from RNAcentral.